RNAcentral lists this transfer-messenger RNA (395 nucleotides) under Metamycoplasmataceae. Its description in RNAcentral is "Mycoplasmopsis miroungigenitalium Standard tmRNA". It matches the Rfam family "transfer-messenger RNA". From Rfam's summary of the family: Bacterial tmRNA, also known as 10Sa RNA or SsrA, is named for its dual tRNA and mRNA-like properties. Its role is to liberate the mRNA from a stalled ribosome. Lineage: Bacteria; Bacillati; Mycoplasmatota; Mycoplasmoidales. The record is from RNAcentral.
GGGGGUGUAAUGGCUUCGACAUGUAGUGGGUAUUAGUAACAUCAGUGGUUUGGUAGACCAUAAUACUUCUAGGCUUUAUAGUCGCAAAAAACGAAAACAAAGUUCAAAUCGAACUACAAGACUUGAUUAUGGCAAACCAAAAUCAAGCACAUUCAAACCUAGUUUUUGCUUAAUUUUGCAAUCUAGUGCACCAUUCAUCUCGCCUUAGGUGGUUGGUGUGGUUUAAAGGCUCGGUUGAUAUUUACACCUAAUAUCAAUUUAAAAUAAAAGUGUACUAAUAUUGAAUGUCUUUGUUUAUUUAACAUCUAUAUUAGCAACAGAAAUAAACUAAACUGUAAGAAGUGUUGCUAUGUCUUGCUAUGUGGACACGGGUUCAACUCCCGUCAUCUCCACCA